AGACAUCUAACACUGAUAUGUUUAUAAACUGGGAUGGAUUUAAUGAUGUCGAGGAAUUUAAGACAGGACCGCAUGCAAGUGGUAUAAAAGAAUAUAUAAUGGCUAUUGGUACUACUGCGGGUGGUAAUGAUGUUCACGAUUUCGAAAAUGUAGGAAUUGUUCAGCACAAAGCGUUACAUAAAAUGGUAAUGCAAAAUGGAUAUUCAUACUAUGCAACUAUACAAGCCAUUGAUUUUGCCAACAGAGUAACAACAGUAAUAUCAGACCCUAUCAUAAUUGACAGCACUUCACCACUAGCUACAAAUAGCCCUAUCACAAUAGAAAACCGACAUAUUAUCUCUAAUACAGAAAUAAA
Long non-coding RNA from Mytilus californianus (California mussel), 355 nucleotides. RefSeq lists it as uncharacterized. The record is from RefSeq and is a predicted model, not a curated record. Lineage: Eukaryota; Metazoa; Mollusca; Bivalvia; Mytilida; Mytilidae. The transcript is spliced from 3 exons.